UUGACCUCGGAUCAGGUAGGAAUACCCGCUGAACUUAAGCAUAUCAAUAAGCGGGAAAAAAAAAAA
This 66-nucleotide ribosomal RNA is filed under the name Capronia sp. 94006a. RNAcentral's name for it is "partial 28S ribosomal RNA". It matches the Rfam family "Eukaryotic large subunit ribosomal RNA", at positions 1 to 66 of the family's 3401-position model. Lineage: Eukaryota; Fungi; Ascomycota; Eurotiomycetes; Chaetothyriales; Herpotrichiellaceae. The record is from RNAcentral.